This 1245-nucleotide ribosomal RNA is filed under the name metagenome. RNAcentral's name for it is "bacterial LSU rRNA". It matches the Rfam family "Bacterial large subunit ribosomal RNA", at positions 1564 to 2817 of the family's 2925-position model. The record is from RNAcentral.
UGAAUACGAGAUGCUACGGCGUCGAAGCAGUUUAUGUCAGACUUCCAAGAAAAGCUCGCAAUGUCAUAAAUAAAGAAUGCCUGUACCAUAACCGACACAGGUGGGUAGGUAGAGUAUACUAAGGGGCGCGAGAUAACUCUCUCUAAGGAACUCGGCAAAAUAACUCCGUAACUUCGGGAGAAGGAGUGCCUUCUUUAAGAAGGUUGCAAUAACAAGAUCCAAGCAACUGUUUAUCAAAAACACAGGUCUCCGCUAAGUCGUAAGACGAUGUAUGGGGGCUGACGCCUGCCCAGUGCCAGAAGGUUAAAGAAGCUGGUUAGCAAUAGCGAAGCUGGUGACUGAAGCCCUGGUGAACGGCGGCCGUAACGAUAACGGUCCUAAGGUAGCGAAAUUCCUUGUCGGGUAAGUUCCGACCCGCACGAAAGGCGUAAUGAUUUGGAUACUGUCUCGGAGAGGGACUCGGUGAAAUAGACUUGUCUGUGAAGAUGCGGACUACCUGCACCAGGACAGAAAGACCCUAUGAAGCUUUACUGUAACCUGAAAUUGAAAUUGGACUUUAUUUGCGCAGUAUAGGUGGGAGGCGUUGAAAGUAAUCUUGUGGGAUUAGUGGAGCCAUCAGUGAGAUACCACUCCUAUAAUGUUAGAUUUCUAACUUUGGAUCAUGAUCUGGUCAAAGAACAGUUUCAGGCGGGCAGUUUGACUGGGGCGGUCGCCUCCCAAAUGGUAACGGAGGCGUACAAAGGUUUCCUCUGAACGGGUAGAAAUCGUAUCUAGAGUGUAAAGGCAUAAGGAAGCUUGACUGUGAGACCUACAAGUCGAGCAGGGACGAAAGUCGGUCUUAGUGAUCUGACGGUGCUGAGUGGAAAGGCCGUCACUCAACGGAUAAAAGUUACUCUAAGGAUAACAGGCUGAUCUCCCCCAAGAGUUCACAUCGACGGGGAGGUUUGGCACCUCGAUGUCGGCUCAUCGCAUCCUGGGGCGGUAGUACGUCCCAAGGGUUGGGCUGUUCGCCCAUGAAAGCGGUACGCGAGCUGGGUUCAGAACGUCGUGAGACAGUUCGGUCCAUAUCCGGUGUAGGCGUUAGAAUAUUGAGAGGAGCCUUCUCUAGUACGAGAGGACCGAGAAGGACAUACCUCUGGUGUACCAGUUAUCGUGCCAACGGUAAACGCUGGGUAGCUAUGUAUGGAGAGGAUAACCGCUGAAAGCAUCUAAGUGGGAAGCCCACCUCAAGAUGAGUAUUCUCAU